RNAcentral lists this long non-coding RNA (266 nucleotides) under Gossypium raimondii (Peruvian cotton). RNAcentral's name for it is "long non-coding RNA (GRAI_LNC003677)". The record is from RNAcentral. Lineage: Eukaryota; Viridiplantae; Streptophyta; Magnoliopsida; Malvales; Malvaceae.
AUUUUGGAAGGAACUCAAAUAAAAACCUAACAAAACCCUGACCUUGCUUGAUUAACCAUGACUUCACACAAUCAAAACGUCGAUUCAAAACCACCAUCCCCUUAAUUAACUCCUAAACACAAAAAAGGAAUCUGCCUUUUAGAGAUUAACCAAGAACGAUUAACAAUAGACAAAACUGUUACUUACCGAACACAUGCAACCAACGAUGAACAACCGAAUCAAUUGGAAAAAAAAAGAAACAAAACAGGAAAAAAUAAUGGAAAUUU